CAGCCGCCGCGGUAAUACGUAGGGUGCGAGCGUUAAUCGGAAUUACUGGGCGUAAAGCGUGCGCAGGCGGUUGUGUAAGACAGGUGUGAAAUCCCCGGGCUUAACCUGGGAACUGCGCUUGUGACUGCACAGCUAGAGUAUGGCAGAGGGGGGUGGAAUUCCACGUGUAGCAGUGAAAUGCGUAGAUAUCAAGAGGAACACCUGAGGCGAAGGCGGGUUGCUGGGCCGACACUGACGCUGAUGCGCGAAAGCCAGGGGAGCAAACUGGAUUAGAUACCCCGGUAGUCCCUGUCUCUUAUAC
RNAcentral lists this ribosomal RNA (301 nucleotides) under uncultured bacterium. Its description in RNAcentral is "partial 16S ribosomal RNA". It matches the Rfam family "Bacterial small subunit ribosomal RNA", at positions 509 to 807 of the family's 1533-position model. The record is from RNAcentral.